ACAACAGUUGGAAACGACUGCUAAUACCGCAUAAUGUCUUCGGACCAAAGGAGGGGCUCUUCGGACCUUUCGCUUUCAGAUGUGCCCAAGCGGGAUUAGCUAGAUGGUGGGGUAAUGGCCUACCAUGGCGACGAUCCCUAGCUGGUUUGAGAGGAUGAUCAGCCACACUGGGACUGAGACACGGCCCAGACUCCUACGGGAGGCAGCAGUGGGGAAUAUUGCACAAUGGGCGCAAGCCUGAUGCAGCCAUGCCGCGUGUGUGAAGAAGGCCUUCGGGUUGUAAAGCACUUUCAGUUGUGAGGAAGGUUGUGCGGUUAAUACCCGUAUAAUUUGACGUUAGCAACAGAAGAAGCACCGGCUAACUCCGUGCCAGCAGCCGCGGUAAUACGGAGGGUGCGAGCGUUAAUCGGAAUUACUGGGCGUAAAGCGUACGCAGGCGGCUUUUUAAGCCAGAUGUGAAAUCCCCGGGCUUAACCUGGGAAUGGCAUUUGGAACUGGGAAGC
This 503-nucleotide ribosomal RNA is filed under the name uncultured Agarivorans sp. Its description in RNAcentral is "bacterial SSU rRNA". It matches the Rfam family "Bacterial small subunit ribosomal RNA", at positions 143 to 641 of the family's 1533-position model. The record is from RNAcentral. Lineage: Bacteria; Pseudomonadati; Pseudomonadota; Gammaproteobacteria; Alteromonadales; Alteromonadaceae.